CUGCGGAGGGAUCAUUACACAAUAAACAUAUGAAGGCUGCACCGCCAACAGGCGGCAAGGCUGGAGUAUUUUAUUACCCUUGUCUUUUGCGCACUUGUUGUUUCCUGGGCGGGUUCGCCCGCCUCCAGGACCACAUGAUAAACCUUUUUUAUGCAGUUGCAAUCAGCGUCAGUACAACAAAUGUAAAUCAUUUACAACUUUCAACAACGGAUCUCUUGGUUCUGGCAUCGAUGAAGAACGCAGCGAAAUGCGAUACGUAGUGUGAAUUGCAGAAUUCAGUGAAUCAUCGAAUCUUUGAACGCACAUUGCGCCCUUUGGUAUUCCAAAGGGCAUGCCUGUUCGAGCGUCAUUUGUACCCUCAAGCUUUGCUUGGUGUUGGGCGUUUUUUGUCUUUGGUUUUGUCCAAAGACUCGCCUUAAAACGAUUGGCAGCCGGCCUACUGGUUUCGCAGCGCAGCACAUUUUUGCGCUUGCAAUCAGCAAAAGAGGACGGCACUCCAUCAAGACUCUAUAUCACUUUUGACCUCGGAUCAGGUAGGGAUACCCGCUGAACUUAAGCAUAUC
RNAcentral lists this ribosomal RNA (563 nucleotides) under Bipolaris sorghicola. RNAcentral's name for it is "eukaryotic LSU rRNA". The stretch from base 196 to 349 matches the Rfam family "5.8S ribosomal RNA". The record is from RNAcentral. Lineage: Eukaryota; Fungi; Ascomycota; Dothideomycetes; Pleosporales; Pleosporaceae.